Molecule: ribosomal RNA, 801 nt
Filed under: uncultured archaeon
Lineage: Archaea
Description: bacterial SSU rRNA
Rfam family: Archaeal small subunit ribosomal RNA
Source: RNAcentral
UAUUGGGUUUAAAGGGUCCGUAGCCGGCUUAUUAAGUCUCUUGGGAAAUCUGGCGACUUAAUCGUCUGGCGUCCAAGAGAUACUGAUAGGCUUGGGACCGGGAGAGGUGGGAGGUACUCCAGGGGUAGGGGUGAAAUCUCGUAAUCCUUGGGGGACCACCGAUGGCGAAGGCAUCCCACCAGAACGGGUCCGACGGUGAGGGACGAAAGCUGGGGGCACGAACCGGAUUAGAUACCCGGGUAGUCCCAGCUGUAAACGAUGCUCGCUAGGUGUCAGGUGCGGUGCGACCGCAUCUGGUGCCGCAGUGAAAACUUGAAGCGAGUCACCUGGGAAGUACGGUCGCAAGGCUGAAACUUAAAGGAAUUGGCGGGGGAGCACUACAACGGGUGGAGCCUGCGGUUCAAUUGGAUUCAACGCCGGAAAGCUUACCGGGUCAGACAGCAAUAUGAAGGUCAAGCUAAAGACUUUACCUAAUUCGCUGAGAGGAGGUGCAUGGCCGUCGUCAGUUCGUAUCGUGAGACAUCCUGUUAAGUCAGGCAACGAGCAAGACCCGUGCCUACAGUUGCCAGCAUACCCUCCGGGGUGAUGGGCACACUGUGGGGACCGCCGCUGCUAAAGCGGAGGAAGGAGCGGGCUACGGUAAGUCAGUAUGCCCCGAAUCAUCCGGGCUACACGCGGGCUACAAUGGUUGGGACAAUGGGCACCUACACCGAGAGGUGAUGGUAAUCUCCUAAACCCAGCCUUAGUUCGGAUUGAGGGCUGCAACUCGCCCUCAUGAAGCCGGAAUCCGUAGUAAUCGCG